GACGAACGCUGGCGGCGUGCUUAACACAUGCAAGUCGAACGGAAAGGCCCUGCUUUUGUGGGGUGCUCGAGUGGCGAACGGGUGAGUAACACGUGAGUAACCUGCCCUUGACUUUGGGAUAACUUCAGGAAACUGGGGCUAAUACCGGAUAGGAGCUCCUGCUGCAUGGUGGGGGUUGGAAAGUUUCGGCGGUUGGGGAUGGACUCGCGGCUUUUCAGCUUGUUGGUGGGGUAGUGGCUUACCAAGGCUUUGACGGGUAGCCGGCCUGAGAGGGUGACCGGCCACAUUGGGACUGGGAUACGGCCCAGACUCCUACGGGAGGCAGCAGUGGGGAAUAUUGCACAAUGGGCGGAAGCCUGAUGCAGCAACGCCGCGUGCGGGAUGACGGCCUUCGGGUUGUAAACCGCUUUCGCCUGUGACGAAGCGUGAGUGACGGUAAUGGGUAAAGAAGCACCGGCUAACUACGUG
This 468-nucleotide ribosomal RNA is filed under the name uncultured bacterium. Its description in RNAcentral is "partial 16S ribosomal RNA". It matches the Rfam family "Bacterial small subunit ribosomal RNA", at positions 28 to 507 of the family's 1533-position model. The record is from RNAcentral.